Molecule: non-coding RNA, 104 nt
Organism: Capsicum annuum
Lineage: Eukaryota; Viridiplantae; Streptophyta; Magnoliopsida; Solanales; Solanaceae
Source: Rfam
GUCCCUUCGAGGACAUUCGAUAAAAUUGGAAUGAUACACAAAAGAUUACCAUGAUUCAUAUGCAAGAACGACACUGAACAAAUCGAGAAAACUUAAAAAAAAGU